UACGGAGGGAGCUAGCGUUGUUCGGAAUUACUGGGCGUAAAGCGCACGUAGGCGGCUUUGUAAGUUAGAGGUGAAAGCCCGGGGCUCAACCCCGGAAUUGCCUUUAAGACUGCAUCGCUUGAAUCCGGGAGAGGUGAGUGGAAUUCCGAGUGUAGAGGUGAAAUGCGCAGAUAUCAGGAAGAACACCCGUGGCGAAGGCGGCUCUCUGGGACGGUACUGACGCUGAGACGCGAAAGCGUGGGGAGCGAACAGG
Molecule: ribosomal RNA, 253 nt
Filed under: uncultured bacterium
Lineage: Bacteria
Description: partial 16S ribosomal RNA
Rfam family: Bacterial small subunit ribosomal RNA
Source: RNAcentral